Molecule: small nucleolar RNA, 107 nt
Filed under: Triticum dicoccoides
Lineage: Eukaryota; Viridiplantae; Streptophyta; Magnoliopsida; Poales; Poaceae
Description: snoRNA snoR135
Rfam family: small nucleolar RNA snoR135
Source: RNAcentral
UGUGCAUUUAUUACUGAAAGUGUUUCCUGCUAUAUUAAUUUUUGGAAAGUGGGCAGUUGGGUUGAGCUUCAUUAUCUCUUUCGCCAACAAUCAUUUUCCUCUCAUUU